UAACCGUGGCUCAGUUCAGAUCGUAGGCUGCAACUCGCCUACGUGAAGGCGGAAUCGCUAGUAAUCGCAGGUCAGCAUACUGCGGUGAAUACGUUCCCGGGCCUUGUACACACCGCCCGUCACACCAUGGAAGUUGGCCACGCCCGAAGCCGUUACUCCAACCCUUGUGGAGGAGGACGUCGAAGGUGGGGCUGAUGACUGGGGUGAAGUCGUAACAAGGUAUCCGUACCGGAAGGUGCGGAUGGAUCACCUCCUAACA
Molecule: ribosomal RNA, 259 nt
Filed under: uncultured Synechococcus sp.
Lineage: Bacteria; Bacillati; Cyanobacteriota; Cyanophyceae; Synechococcales; Synechococcaceae
Description: partial 16S ribosomal RNA
Rfam family: Bacterial small subunit ribosomal RNA
Source: RNAcentral